GACGAACGCUGGCGGCGUGCUUAACACAUGCAAGUCGAACGGAAAGGCCUGCUUUCCCUUGUGGAUUGCGGGUACUCGAGUGGCGAACGGGUGAGUAACACGUGAGUGAUCUGCCCCCAACUUGGGUAUAAGCCUGGGAAACUGGGUCUAAUUCCCGAUAGGACUGCAGGGUGGUGCCUGUGGUGGAAAACGAUUUUCUAGUGGUUGGGGAUGAGCUCGCGGCCUAUCAGCUUGUUGGUGGGGUAAUGGCCUACCAAGGCGGCGACGGGUAGCCGGCCUGGGAGGGUGGACGGCCACGUUGGGACUGCGAUACGGCCCAGACUCCUACGGGAGGCAGCAGUGGGGAAUAUAGCACGAUGGGCGGAAGCCUGAUGCAGCGACGCCGCGUGGGGGAUGACGGCCUUCGGGUUGUAAACUCCUUUCGACCGCGAGGAAGCCACCUGGUUGGAAGGGUGGUGACGGUAGUGGUAGAAGAGCACCGGCUAACUACGUG
RNAcentral lists this ribosomal RNA (493 nucleotides) under uncultured bacterium. RNAcentral describes it as "partial 16S ribosomal RNA". It matches the Rfam family "Bacterial small subunit ribosomal RNA", at positions 28 to 507 of the family's 1533-position model. The record is from RNAcentral.